Podarcis lilfordi (Lilford's wall lizard) is the source of this 68-nucleotide non-coding RNA. NCBI's taxonomy places the organism in Eukaryota, Metazoa, Chordata, Lepidosauria, Squamata, Lacertidae. The record is from the annotation of a GenBank genome assembly.
GGAUAGCUCAGGUAGUAGAGCAUGAGACUCUUAAUCUUAGGGUGGUGGUUCAAGCCCCACGUUGAUCA